UGACCUGAGCAGACGGGUGAGGGGAAACAUAGGUGGGGGAAAGCAAACGUCGUUGCUCCCGGCCAGAUGAGGUGGAGGCGUGCUGAGCCUCAGCGCGGCCAUAGCAGGUACACGAGCGCAAGCGCUGGUGCGGCUG
RNAcentral lists this unclassified non-coding RNA (136 nucleotides) under plant metagenome. Its description in RNAcentral is "partial contains 5.8S ribosomal RNA, internal transcribed spacer 2, and large subunit ribosomal RNA". The record is from RNAcentral.